AUACGGGAGGCAGCAGUGGGGAAUCUUGCGCAAUGGGCGAAAGCCUGACGCAGCGACGCCGCGUGAGCGAUGAAGGCCUUCGGGUUGUAAAGCUCUGUGGGGAGAGACGAAUAAGGUGCAGCUAAUACCUGCAUCGAUGACGGUAUCUCCUUAGCAAGCACCGGCUAACUCUGUGCCAGCAGCCGCGGUAAGACAGAGGGUGCAAACGUUGUUCGGAAUUACUGGGCGUAAAGCGCGUGUAGGCGGCAGCGUGUGUCGGGCGUGAAAUCCCAUGGCUCAACCAUGGAAGUGCACCCGAAACUGCGCAGCUAGAGUCCUGGAGAGGAAGGUGGAAUACUUGGUGUAGAGGUGAAAUUCGUAGAUAUCAAGUGGAACACCGGUGGCGAAGGCGGCCUUCUGGACAGUGACUGACGCUGAGACGCGAAAGCGUGGGGAGCAAACAGGAUUAGAAACCCCUGUAGUCC
This 464-nucleotide ribosomal RNA is filed under the name uncultured bacterium. RNAcentral describes it as "bacterial SSU rRNA". It matches the Rfam family "Bacterial small subunit ribosomal RNA", at positions 339 to 796 of the family's 1533-position model. The record is from RNAcentral.